Long non-coding RNA from Polypterus senegalus (gray bichir), 371 nucleotides. RefSeq lists it as uncharacterized. NCBI's taxonomy places the organism in Eukaryota, Metazoa, Chordata, Cladistia, Polypteriformes, Polypteridae. The record is from RefSeq and is a predicted model, not a curated record. The transcript is spliced from 3 exons.
CGGUGCUUCGAUCUCCAGCGCUUCGAAAGCUCGACACAGUGUCGAAACCUGAGUAUCGAGCGUCCCAUCACUAGUGGGAGGUCCGUGAAUGAAGUACUAGAUAUCUACCGCGAGCAGCAGUUACUCUCUGUUUGCUCUUAUGAGACCCUCGUACUGAGACUUUUUCACGGCCAGAAGAUCAAGCAAAGGUGCAGAAGGUCCUGAAACUCCAAAUGUCCUCCUGCAGUCGUUUGAACCUCUGAGCUCUGAGGAGUUUUUACAGAUGUCAGUGCAAAGAGAGAUGGAUGAAAAUAAGAAGAGCUUCACUGCUCUGAUACGGUGCAUUGAGGAAGACCACAGGAAACUGACUGAGAGGAUCAGAGAACAAGAAA